This 714-nucleotide ribosomal RNA is filed under the name uncultured organism. RNAcentral describes it as "bacterial SSU rRNA". It matches the Rfam family "Bacterial small subunit ribosomal RNA", at positions 51 to 760 of the family's 1533-position model. The record is from RNAcentral.
ACACAUGCAAGUCGAGGGGUAACGAUGUAGCUUGCUACAGGCGACGACCGGCGCACGGGUGCGUAACGCGUAUGCAACUUUCCUUAUACAGGAGGAUAGCCCAGGGAAACUUGGAUUAAUACUCCAUAAUGUCACCAGGUCGCAUGGCCAGGUGAUUAAAACUCCGGUGGUAUAAGAUGGGCAUGCGUAGGAUUAGCUAGUAGGUAGUGUAACGGACUACCCAGGCAACGAUCCUUAGGGGUUCUGAGAGGAUUAUCCCCCACACUGGUACUGAGACACGGACCAGACUCCUACGGGAGGCAGCAGUGAGGAAUAUUGGUCAAUGGGCGCGAGCCUGAACCAGCCAUCCCGCGUGCAGGAUGACGGCCCUAUGGGUUGUAAACUGCUUUUCUACGCCAAGAAAGGCCCGUACGAGUACGGGAUUGACGGUAGCGUAGGAAUAAGCAUCGGCUAACUCCGUGCCAGCAGCCGCGGUAAUACGGAGGAUGCAAGCGUUAUCCGGAUUCAUUGGGUAUAAAGGGUGCGCAGGCGGGCUUGUAAGUCAGUGGUGAAAUACUGCCGCUUAACGGUAGAAUUGCCAUUGAUACUGCGAGUCUUGAGUAUGGUUGAGGUAGGCGGAAUGUGCAGUGUAGCGGUGAAAUGCAUAGAGAUUGCACAGAACGCCGAUUGACGAGGCAGCUUACUAAGCCAUAACUGACGCUGAGGCACGAAAGC